Molecule: ribosomal RNA, 504 nt
Filed under: uncultured bacterium
Lineage: Bacteria
Description: bacterial SSU rRNA
Rfam family: Bacterial small subunit ribosomal RNA
Source: RNAcentral
GAUGAACGCUAGCGGGAGGCUUAAUACAUGCAAGUCGAGGGGUAACGAUUCGGACCUAGUCUGAAGGCGACGACCGGCGCACGGGUGAGUAACGCGUACACGACCUACCUCAUACUGAGGGAUAGCCCUGGGAAACUGGGAUUAAUACCUCAUAGUACUAACAAAUUGCGAUUUAUUAGUUAAAGUUCCGGCGGUAUGAGAUGGGUGUGCGUUAGAUUAGCUAGUUGGUAAGGUAACGGCUUACCAAGGCGACGAUCUAUAGGGGGCGUGAGAGCGUGGACCCCCACACGGGUACUGAGACACGGACCCGACUCCUACGGGAGGCAGCAGUAAGGAAUAUUGGACAAUGGGGGCAACCCUGAUCCAGCCAUCCCGCGUGCAGGAAGACGGCCCUAUGGGUUGUAAACUGCUUUUAUAAGGGAAGAAAAUUAGUCAUUUAUGAUUAACUGACGGUACCUUAAGAAUAAGCACCGGCUAACUCCGUGCCAGCCGCCGCCGUAACAC